RNAcentral lists this ribosomal RNA (402 nucleotides) under uncultured Gemmobacter sp. Its description in RNAcentral is "bacterial SSU rRNA". It matches the Rfam family "Bacterial small subunit ribosomal RNA", at positions 355 to 774 of the family's 1533-position model. The record is from RNAcentral. Lineage: Bacteria; Pseudomonadati; Pseudomonadota; Alphaproteobacteria; Rhodobacterales; Paracoccaceae.
UGGGGAAUCUUAGACAAUGGGGGAAACCCUGAUCUAGCCAUGCCGCGUGAGCGAUGAAGGCCUUAGGGUUGUAAAGCUCUUUCGCUGGGGAAGAUAAUGACUGUACCCAGUAAAGAAGCCCCGGCUAACUCCGUGCCAGCAGCCGCGGUAAUACGGAGGGGGCUAGCGUUAUUCGGAAUUACUGGGCGUAAAGCGCACGUAGGCGGACCAGAAAGUUGGAGGUGAAAUCCCAGGGCUCAACCCUGGAACUGCCUUCAAAACCCCUGGUCUUGAGAUCGAGAGAGGUGAGUGGAAUUCCGAGUGUAGAGGUGAAAUUCGUAGAUAUUCGGAGGAACACCAGUGGCGAAGGCGGCUCACUGGCUCGAUACUGACGCUGAGGUGCGAAAGCGUGGGGAGCAAACA